GCCUACGGGGGGCAGCAGUGGGGAAUAUUGCACAAUGGGGGAAACCCUGAUGCAGCGACGCCGCGUGAGUGAAGAAGUAUUUCGGUAUGUAAAGCUCUAUCAGCAGGGAAGAUAAUGACGGUACCUGACUAAGAAGCCCCGGCUAACUACGUGCCAGCAGCCGCGGUAAUACGUAGGGGGCAAGCGUUAUCCGGAAUCACUGGGUGUAAAGGGAGCGUAGACGGCUGUGCAAGCCUGAAGUGAAAGGCGGGGGCCCAACCCCUGGACUGCGUUGGGAACUGUACGGCUGGAGGGAAGGAGGGGGA
RNAcentral lists this ribosomal RNA (305 nucleotides) under uncultured bacterium. RNAcentral describes it as "bacterial SSU rRNA". It matches the Rfam family "Bacterial small subunit ribosomal RNA", at positions 337 to 659 of the family's 1533-position model. The record is from RNAcentral.